CGGCGGACGGGUGAGUAACGCGUAGGAAUCUACCCAGUAGUGGGGGACAACAUGGUGAAAACCAUGCUAAUACCGCAUACGCCCUAUGGGGGAAAGCGGGGGACCUUCGGGCCUCGCGCUAUUGGAUGAGCCUGCGUCGGAUUAGCUUGUUGGUGAGGUAAAAGCUCACCAAGGCGACGAUCCGUAGCUGGUCUGAGAGGAUGAUCAGCCACACUGGAACUGAGACACGGUCCAG
This 235-nucleotide ribosomal RNA is filed under the name uncultured bacterium. Its description in RNAcentral is "partial 16S ribosomal RNA". It matches the Rfam family "Bacterial small subunit ribosomal RNA", at positions 96 to 334 of the family's 1533-position model. The record is from RNAcentral.